This 2294-nucleotide long non-coding RNA is filed under the name Sus scrofa (pig). Its description in RNAcentral is "lncRNA (ENSSSCG00000059183.1, ENSSSCG00025022200.1)". Lineage: Eukaryota; Metazoa; Chordata; Mammalia; Artiodactyla; Suidae. The record is from RNAcentral.
UUCCCGUGGUGGCACAGCAGUAAGGAACCCAGCUAGUAUCCAUGAGGACAUAGGUUCGAUCCCUGGCCUCGCUCAGUGAGUUAAGGAUCCGGCACCCUUAACCCACGGAGCGAGGCCAGGAAUUGAACCCGCAACCUCAUGGUUCCUAGGCAGAUUCGUUAAUCUGCGCCACGACGGGAACUGCCCCCUCUCCUUUCUGAUCAGCAGUUUCUUCUCCAUCCUCUCACCCUUCCAGAGGCCAUGUCUGCAGACUCAGGCCAUCCUGGAUUCUUGCUUCCGAGUUGCGUGUCCCCAGGAGAAGCUGGAGCAGGGGGCUGUCUCCCUCCGGAGGGAUGGCCCAGUCGUGCCGAAGCCCACGGGUUCACAGCCAGCCCGGGUCCUUGUGGGACGUGGUCAGCAGGACGCUGGUGGGCCUCCCAUGCCUGAGGCUGGGGGCUGGGGGCCAGGAGGGCCCCUGGGCCAGAAUCCUGGAGCCACUAAGUUGAGGGGGGCUGAGCUGGGAAGAGGCUGGAGGGUCACCCGAGGAGUGGUUAGCCACCUGGUGUAGACAGCCGCAAACUCGAGUCGGGACAGUGACGUGGCGGCGGGUGUGCGGCUGUGCACUGCUCUCUUGCAGAGGGGUCUGCGUGGCCUUGCUCUGUGGCCUUGCAUGUGUGCACACGCCCCGUACACACCUCCCUGCACACAUAGAAGCACACGAGUGUGUCUGACGGGGGCACUUUGUGUUCCUGCGUGUCCUGGCUGCCUCCGAUCUGCAGUGGGUUUGGGGGAGGGGGCAGCACUCGCCCUCCUGCUGGCUUCCCUUAGGAACCCUCUUGUCAUUCCUGGUGCCUGGGGAGCCUCUGGGCUGGGCUGGAGGGGCUGUGGUCCAGGGAGAAGGGCAGGGCGUGUGUGUGCAUGUGUGUGUGUGUGCAUGCGUGGGCCUGCUUGGCCUGUGCAUCUCAGCACACCUGUGGGGCUCCGCGUGCCCAUUUGCCCCUGUUGGGGCUGCACCCCGGGCCUGGCUGCAUGUGAACGUCCAGCCUGCACACAAGCGCCCUGGGCCCUCGCCAGUCACUGCAGGCCCCGAGGUCUCCGUGUGCGCCACGGCGGCGUCGAUGGAGCUUCUUACCCGCAGGUGAACGGCCCUGCUUCUCACACGGUCCCCAGAGGGACGUGUCCACGAAAUGGUCACCACUGUGAGCCUCUGCCAGCAUCAGGGUUCAGGCUGAGGCUGGGGCUGGGGUCAGAGGUCGGUCUGUAGCAGGGCCAGUGUCAGGCUGGGGCCAGAGACUGUGGCUGGGAUCAGAAGUCCAUUCUUGGCCGAGGGCGAGUGUCCGUCUCUGGCGGGGUUGGGUCGGGGUGCUUGCACUGUGCCUGGGGUCAAGGGUCAGUCUGUCUGGAGCCACUGGUGCAGAGCACGGGUGAGGCCUCAGCCCCACUGCGGCCCCCCUGCCCCUGGGUGGGGCCGUGCUAGGUGCCAGCCAGGGCAAGGGGCUGCCAGGAGCUGCUCCCAUGGCCAGACCAGAAGUGCCAAGAGCAGGUGGCCUUGGUCAUAGCCAGGACCAGGCUGCCCUCUGGACCCAGGACCUUUUGAGGGAAUGCAGAGCAGGUGAGGCGCUGGGAGACCCCUGCCGCCGGCCCCCGUGCUCGCCACCCCUCGGCCCUCCGUUCUGCUCCCUCUCUCACCCUGCUCCCUUCCCCGCCCUCUGUCCCCUGUCCCCACUUCCUCGUCUCUGUCUUCCUUCCCUCUUCCUUGUGCCACUCAUUUGCCCGAGCCCUGCCUGCAGCCACCAGCCUCUGCCCUCAGUGACCAGGCCCUGCCCUCCAAGUUCAGGGACCCGGCUCAGUAUCUUCAGGAGCUGAGAGAGGAAGGUCACAGGCGUGCGUGGGCUGCCGACAGGUGCGUGAGAGCCAGAGGUCAGGCACGUCCAGGUGAGGCCACCCACCCAGGGAAGAAGGCUCCCUAGCAGGUGCUUCUGCCCUGCCUGAGUCUGGAGCUGUGUGAUCUUGUCACGUGGCCUCCCACAGUCUAGAAAGGAAGGACGGACAGACAGACAGAUGGCAGAGAAAGCCACAGACAGCAGAGAGUUCCCGUCGAGGCUCAGCAGAAACGAAUCUGACUAGGAUCCAUGAUGAUGUGGGUUCGAUCCCUGGCCUUGCUCAGUGGGUGAAGGAUCCAGCAUUGCUGUGAGCUGUGGUGUGGGUCGCAGACACGGCUCAGAUUUGGCGUUGCUGUGGCUGUGGUGCAGGCUGGCAGCUGCAGCUCUGAUUCGACCCCUCGCCCGGGAACCUCCAUAUGCCGCGGGGGUGAG